Molecule: signal recognition particle RNA, 159 nt
Filed under: Nomascus leucogenys (northern white-cheeked gibbon)
Lineage: Eukaryota; Metazoa; Chordata; Mammalia; Primates; Hylobatidae
Description: Metazoan signal recognition particle RNA
Rfam family: Metazoan signal recognition particle RNA
About the family: The signal recognition particle (SRP) is a universally conserved ribonucleoprotein. It is involved in the co-translational targeting of proteins to membranes. The eukaryotic SRP consists of a 300-nucleotide 7S RNA and six proteins: SRPs 72, 68, 54, 19, 14, and 9.
Source: Rfam by way of RNAcentral
GCCAGGCGCAGUAGUGUGCACCUGUAGUCCUAGCUACUCGGGAGGCCGAGGCAGGAGGAUCACCUGAGCUCAGGAGUUUGAAGUUACAGUGAGCUAUGAUCGUGCCUGUGAAUAGCCACUGCACUCCAGCCUAUGGAACAUUGUGAGACCCUGCCUCUA